CUACGGGACGCAGCAGUGAGGAAUAUUGCACAAUGGAGGAAACUCUGAUGCAGCAACGCCGCGUGGAGGAUGACGCAUUUCGGUGUGUAAACUCCUUUUAUAUGUCAAGAAAAUGACGGUAGCAUAUGAAUAAGCACCGGCUAACUCCGUGCCAGCAGCCGCUGUAAUACGGAGGGUGCAAGCGUUACUCGGAAUCACUGGGCGUAAACGACGCGUAGGCGGGAUAUCAAGUCAGGUGUGAAAUCCUACAGCUUAACUGUAGAACUGCACUUGAAACUGGUAACCUAGAGUAUGGGAGGGGGAGAUGGAAUUAGUGGUGUAGGGGUAAAAUCCGUAGAUAUCACUAGGAAUACCUAAAGCGAAGGCGAUCUCCUGGAACAUAACUGACGCUAAGGCGUGAAAGCGUGGGGAGCAAACAGGAUUAGAUACCCCGGUAGUC
Molecule: ribosomal RNA, 439 nt
Filed under: uncultured bacterium
Lineage: Bacteria
Description: partial 16S ribosomal RNA
Rfam family: Bacterial small subunit ribosomal RNA
Source: RNAcentral